CCUACGGGUGGCAGCAGUGAGGAAUAUUGGUCAAUGGACGAGAGUCUGAACCAGCCAAGUAGCGUGAAGGAUGACUGCCCUAUGGGUUGUAAACUUCUUUUAUAUGGGAAUAAAAUGUUCCACGUGUGGGAUUUUGUAUGUACCAUAUGAAUAAGGAUCGGCUAACUCCGUGCCAGCAGCCGCGGUAAUACGGAGGAUCCGAGCGUUAUCCGGAUUUAUUGGGUUUAAAGGGAGCGUAGGUGGAUGGUUAAGUCAGUUGUGAAAGUUUGCGGCUCAACCGUAAAAUUGCAGUUGAAAAUGGCAGUCUUGAGUACAGUAGAGGUGGGCGGAAUUCGUGGUGUAGCGGUGAAAUGCUUAGAUAUCACGAAGAACUCCGAUUGCGAAGGCAGUUCACUGGACUGCAACUGACACUGAGGCUCGAAAGUGUGGGUAUCAAACAGGAUUAGAUACCCGGGUAGUC
Molecule: ribosomal RNA, 460 nt
Filed under: uncultured bacterium
Lineage: Bacteria
Description: partial 16S ribosomal RNA
Rfam family: Bacterial small subunit ribosomal RNA
Source: RNAcentral